RNAcentral lists this transfer RNA (88 nucleotides) under Thioploca sp. RNAcentral's name for it is "tRNA-Ser". It matches the Rfam family "tRNA". From Rfam's summary of the family: Transfer RNA (tRNA) molecules are approximately 80 nucleotides in length. The record is from RNAcentral. Lineage: Bacteria; Pseudomonadati; Pseudomonadota; Gammaproteobacteria; Thiotrichales; Thiotrichaceae.
GGAGAGGUACCGAAGCGGUCAUAACGGCACCGACUCGAAAUCGGAUGGUCUUUAAUUAGGCACGCGGGUUCGAAUCCCGCCUUCUCCG